GAACGCCGUAGCAAUACGGAGUGGCAGACGGGUGAGUAACGCGUGGGAACAUACCCCUCGGUUCGGGAUAACUCAGGGAAACUUGAGCUAAUACCGGAUACGUCCAGGGUUUUAAUCGACCUUGGAGAAAGAUUUAUCGCCGGGGGAUUGGCCCGCGUCUGAUUAGCUUGUUGGUGAGGUAAUGGCUCACCAAGGCGACGAUCAGUAGCUGGUCUGAGAGGAUGAUCAGCCACAUUGGGACUGAGACACGGCCCAAACUCCUACGGGAGGCAGCAGUGGGGAAUAUUGGACAAUGGGCGAAAGCCUGAUCCAGCCAUGCCGCGUGAGUGAUGAAGGCCUUAGGGUUGUAAAGCUCUUUUACCCGGGAAGAUAAUGACGGUACCGGGAGAAUAAGCCCCGGCUAACUUCGUGCCAGCAGCCGCGGUAAUACGAAGGGGGCUAGCGUUGUUCGGAAUUACUGGGCGUAAAGCGCACGUAGGCGGAUCCUUAAGUCAGGGGUGAAAUCCCGAGGCUCAACCUCGGAACUGCCUUUGAUACUGGGGAUAUCGAGUCCGGGAGAGGUGAGUGGAACUGCCAGUGUAGAGUUGAAAUUCGUAGAUAUUCGCAAGAACACCAGUGGCGAAGGCGGCUCACUGGCCCGGUACUGACGCUGAGGUGCGAAAGCGUGGGGA
RNAcentral lists this ribosomal RNA (671 nucleotides) under uncultured forest soil bacterium. RNAcentral's name for it is "bacterial SSU rRNA". It matches the Rfam family "Bacterial small subunit ribosomal RNA", at positions 64 to 767 of the family's 1533-position model. The record is from RNAcentral.